Molecule: long non-coding RNA, 303 nt
Organism: Neltuma alba
Lineage: Eukaryota; Viridiplantae; Streptophyta; Magnoliopsida; Fabales; Fabaceae
Exons: 3
Source: RefSeq, a predicted model, not a curated record
AUAACAUUACCGCCAGUGAACUUGCUGGAUUUGGCGUGGGCACUCUACUCCUUUGUGCGACCAUCGCGGCCCCAAAAAUCGAUGCUUUCUUUGCUGCCUCUCAGCGCAGGGAAUGUUUCUUAUUUCCAAAAUUGAUGUCUAUGACCGUGAACACCCUUUUAAACUUGGUGGUAGACACCCUUUUUUCUUGAUCAGUAAUUGAUUAAGUAGAUUACUGGAAGCUCAUUGGGUUUGUGCAAACGAUGUGGCAAUCUGAGGAGAAUAGCAUGUACUAGAUGCAGAGGAACAGGAUCGGUUAGAGAA